This 593-nucleotide long non-coding RNA is filed under the name Heterocephalus glaber (naked mole-rat). Its description in RNAcentral is "lncRNA (ENSHGLG00000049686.1)". The record is from RNAcentral. Lineage: Eukaryota; Metazoa; Chordata; Mammalia; Rodentia; Bathyergidae.
GGGCUGUCUGUGUGCAGGAGGUGGGAAGGGUUUAGCUGAAGGUCUGAAGCUCACUGCAGUGUCCCAUGCAAGUGUCCAUAUCAGGAGGACAGAUGAUCUGUGAUGGAAGGCUGAAGAGUUUGUGCUGGAAGCCAGGAAAUGAUAUCCAAGAAGGUGAAGACUGGAUUUCCUCCUAAGAAACAGAAGGUGUUCAAAAACUAAAGUUUGGAAGUUUGGAGACUAAAACUAGAAAGGUAACUGGGCUAUGAGGACAGCCAAUAUUUUAGCCCUGGUCCCUCAAGGUCAACAAAAAUCCAGGACACAAAGGAACCUGUCCUACAGGAUUCUAUAUCUUUGCUGUUCUGUUUUCCUGUACCUCAACUGGAGCCGACAUUAUCAGAACACCACCUGCUACCACCACUGCAGCUGAGAGUCUGUCAGCAGUUCCAGGAGGAAGACACACCCUUCCAGAGCAGCUGGGAACUCCCUCUGGGGCAGAGCAAACCAAGUCCAUGGCUCAGUCUAUGUACACAGAGCAAAGUGAAGAUACCCUACUACUAACUCAGUUCCAAGCAGGAACAUUCCUGGGUUUGCAAAGCACUGUUAAUGUUAUG